CAAAGGUGCAUGUAGAAACGGAGUACACAGCAAAUAACAACAGCUGGUGCCGAAAACCAGACACAUCCACGUACAAACACCUCUAGACAUGUAUUAAUGGCCUUAACUGCAAUGGCAGAUGCUCACAUCUGCUCAGAAUAAAACAAACACCAGCGUGUGCACACACACACAAACACACACAGGGGUGAGUUAUAAAUCUGACACACGUCACAUUUAAUUGUUCUAACAAGCAGUAAUGAGAGCAUUGAGGGUCAGCGAGGCACUUUGGAUGAUGUAAGUAUUCCUCGGAGGAUGGAUGAGCAUCAAUCUGGCAACCUUGAUUUCAUAUUUGGGUUUAAUUCAGCGUAAUGGCAGCUGUCUACACAUGGGAGAAGGACGGUAAUAGAAUACCUGGCAACCACUGCACAGUGUUCAUAACUAGAGCACUGGAUCGGUGAGGAGAGGGAUUAAACUGACAAGAAGGGUCCAAGAGAGCACUUAGUUCUGCCUACACUUUGGUGAUGGAGCAGGCAAGAGUGUUAGCUUGAAAUGAUAGAAAAAUCGAAGUUUUGAUUUCCCACAUCAGUUGAAACACACUACAGGAAAUGACCUCUAAUAUGUGCUUCAAAACAGACAAACUCUUUAGAAGAAAUCCCUUAGUGUUGGACUAUUUCAGAAGGGCAUGUUUAUUAAAAGCGUGUUCCUCCCUGCUGCAUUUCCCCUCUGAGAAGCAGCAAUAAGAUCACUAAAGCUGGAUGGGAUUGGUAAACCGCCUGCAGUUUCAUGGACGGCUGCUUCAGAAAAUCAAGAGCUGAAAAUCAGGAACGGCUCCACAGAAUCUCCUCCCCCUCCACGUUCAAUUUGCCACUCUGAACAGAUUUAUUCCUCCUUGAUCCUGGCAGCAUCACCAUUCUAUCACUCCCCUUUUCAUUCUGUCCUUCCUGCCUUCCUUUCCUUCUUUGCUUCCUUCCUUCCAUCCAUCCUUACAGCAUCUUUGAACCUGCUGGCCCCAGUCUUGCAUCUGGACGCCUGACAAACCAACAUCAAUAAGGCUGUCUGGUGGCAGCAUACAGGUCCAUCAGCUGGAGCUGUGCAUGCAGCUUAUGCAGCAUGCAAAUUGACCAGCGUGCCUGCAUGUGUUUAUGGGCAUGCAUUUUACGCGUGUGCAUCCAUAUGUGUGCAUGUUCAAUGUCUGUUGUCUCCUUGAGCAGUUGCAUCUGUAAAUCAUGAAUUAGACAUUUUCGCGCUGGAGCAUAAAAACUGCGAAUGUAAAAUCUGUGCAGGCUACCAGCACUGACGGCCUUUUAAAAACUGAAAUGACUAAACUAUGAAAAAGGAAAGGAAGUAAGCUCUUCCACUGAACAAGACAAAAAUGAAAUAUUUAGUAGGAGAAGUGUAAAACAUUAGAGUCUGUCAUGAAAUAUGUUCUGCUGGUUUUUUCUACCACUAUUGCAAAGAACUGAACAUUUACUCUACAAGUUCAAGCCAAAAAAAUCUGUUUGAAACAAAACUUUGUAUUUUUCUUUUUAUAUUCUUUUUGUUCUUCGUUUUUUUUUUUUCUCUCAAUUUUGGAAAGGCCAAUUCCCUUUGCCCUGCAGCUUUUGUUGCUACAGCAAUAUCUCCCUCUGUUGGCCUCAGAUACACAUGGAUUCGCGAGUUGCUUCAUUUCAUCUGCCAGGAGGAGCUCACCAGGAGACAAUAACACAUGGAGGUCCAAGUAAUCACCCCUGGAUGGGCGCUCCAAGCCAACCAGCGAUGGUUAUUGGUGCACUUACAAAGAUAUGAUCCUUUGUGGCUUCAUACCUGCCAUUUUGCCAAUUACGCUCAAAGGGGCACCCAGGCCAGAAGCAAGAAACACUGCAGCCAGGGAUAGAACCUGAGUCCCUGCGGUGGUGGGGGAGUGAUUUUCUCUCCACACUAUCUGGCGCUUCGGGCUGCAUUUGUAAUUGUAUCGGAGCCAGUAUCCCUCAGUGCAUGUGAAUAGGUCAAAGCUGGAUCAGCAAAGUUGCUGCUGGAGAUCGACUGACAGUGUUGACACCAGUCCAGUUCUUGGUCAGCCAAUCGAAUUCGAGGAGUCCUGCCGCUGUCAGCUUCCUCUCUUAUGUAAAGGGGUCACGGUUCAGAGCCCAGGGGACGACGUAUAGGUACUGAGGGGACAAGAGCACGUUUGACAUGCUUGACGCGGCAGGGCACGCCGACACGGGCGGACACACACACACACGCCAACGCACACUCGUGAUCAGAGAUGGCGUAUGGUCGACAUGCAGCGCCACGUCUUCAAACGGGGGAGAGUGGAGAUGUGCGGCAGAGGGAGAGGGAGCUUCAAACGGGGAGCUGUGGGAGGA
This is a long non-coding RNA of Acanthopagrus latus (yellowfin seabream), 2324 nucleotides long. RefSeq lists it as uncharacterized. The record is from RefSeq and is a predicted model, not a curated record. NCBI's taxonomy places the organism in Eukaryota, Metazoa, Chordata, Actinopteri, Spariformes, Sparidae. The transcript is spliced from 3 exons.